This 95-nucleotide microRNA precursor is filed under the name Camelus bactrianus (Bactrian camel). Its description in RNAcentral is "mir-544 microRNA precursor family". It matches the Rfam family "mir-544 microRNA precursor family". The record is from Rfam by way of RNAcentral. Lineage: Eukaryota; Metazoa; Chordata; Mammalia; Artiodactyla; Camelidae. RNAcentral also lists the same sequence under 2 other names.
GUCACCUGGGAAUCUUGUUUAAAUGCAGAUUCUGACUCAGAUGUGUAGCAGGGCCAAAGAUUUUGCCUUUCCAACAAGCUCCCAAGUGAUGCUGC